This 433-nucleotide ribosomal RNA is filed under the name uncultured bacterium. RNAcentral's name for it is "bacterial SSU rRNA". It matches the Rfam family "Bacterial small subunit ribosomal RNA", at positions 340 to 786 of the family's 1533-position model. The record is from RNAcentral.
UACGGGAGGCAGCAGUGGGGAAUAUUGGACAAUGGGCGCAAGCCUGAUCCAGCCAUGCCGCGUGAGUGAUGAAGGCCUUAGGGUUGUAAAGCUCUUUCACCGGAGAAGAUAAUGACGGUAUCCGGAGAAGAAGCCCCGGCUAACUUCGUGCCAGCAGCCGCGGUAAUACGAAGGGGCUAGCGUUGUUCGGAAUGACUGGGCGUAAAGCGCACGUAGGCGGACAUUUUAAAGUCAGGGGUGAAAUCCCGGGGCUCAACCUCGGAACUGCCUUUUGAUACUGGGUGUCUGGAGUGUGGAAGAGGUGAGUGGAAUUCCGAGUGUAGAGGUGAAAUUCGUAGAUAUUCGGAGGAACACCAGUGGCGAAGGCGGCUCACUGGUCCACAACUGACGCUGAGGGUGCGAAAGCGUGGGGAGCAAACAGGGAUUAGAUACC